UACAGAGGUCUCAAGCGUUGUUCGGAUUCAUUGGGCGUAAAGGGUGCGUAGGCGGCGCGGUAAGUCGGGUGUGAAAUCUUGGAGCUUAACUCCGAAACUGCAUUCGAUACUGCCGUGCUUGAGGACUGGAGAGGAGACUGGAAUUUACGGUGUAGCGGUGAAAUGCGUAGAUAUCGUAAGGAAGACCGGUGGCGAAGGCUAGUCUCUGGACAGUUACUGACACUGAGGCACGAAGGCCAGGGGAGCAAACGGG
This 253-nucleotide ribosomal RNA is filed under the name uncultured bacterium. RNAcentral describes it as "partial 16S ribosomal RNA". It matches the Rfam family "Bacterial small subunit ribosomal RNA", at positions 524 to 776 of the family's 1533-position model. The record is from RNAcentral.